UGUAAGUGCAGCGAUGCAUUGAGCUAACCAGUACUAAUGACCCGAGAGGCUUAACCUUACAACACCAAAGGUGUU
Molecule: ribosomal RNA, 75 nt
Filed under: Rahnella woolbedingensis
Lineage: Bacteria; Pseudomonadati; Pseudomonadota; Gammaproteobacteria; Enterobacterales; Yersiniaceae
Description: partial 23S ribosomal RNA
Source: RNAcentral